Podarcis muralis (Common wall lizard) is the source of this 138-nucleotide small nucleolar RNA. Ensembl annotates it as small nucleolar RNA SNORA42/SNORA80 family. Lineage: Eukaryota; Metazoa; Chordata; Lepidosauria; Squamata; Lacertidae. The record is from Ensembl.
GCAUGGCUCUGGAUUUAUGGCGGGUCUGGUUCCAUAGAUCCCUCCAUAGUGUACUCCAUGCUAAAGCAAGCUGCUACUCCGAACCAUUGGCCAGUCUGGCUUGUAGUAGCCCUGGCUACUGAAGUGAGUGGCACAUGU